UACGGAGGGUGCAAGCGUUAAUCGGAAUUACUGGGCGUAAAGCGCGCGUAGGCGGCUCGGAAAGUCGGGCGUGAAAUGCCGGGGCUCAACCCCGGGACUGCGUCCGAUACUUCCGAGCUGGAGGUAGGUAGGGGAGAUCGGAAUUCCUGGUGUAGCGGUGAAAUGCGCAGAUAUCAGGAGGAACACCGGUGGCGAAGGCGGAUCUCUGGGCCUUACCUGACGCUGAGGCGCGAAAGCUAGGGGAGCGAACAGG
RNAcentral lists this ribosomal RNA (253 nucleotides) under uncultured bacterium. RNAcentral describes it as "partial 16S ribosomal RNA". It matches the Rfam family "Bacterial small subunit ribosomal RNA", at positions 524 to 776 of the family's 1533-position model. The record is from RNAcentral.